GAGUUUUGGGUCUAUAUAAACAAAUUGCAUUGGAAAAGAAAAACAAACAAACCAAUACAGGCAAGCCUUCCCUCUAAUAUCACCCUGUCAUAAACCUCAAAAACCACAAUGCAAGCCACAAAGGAUAACAAGGAUCAGAAAAACAAAUUGGAACAAGUGUUUCGAGCUUACUCUAAGGAGGGCAGCCUCACCAGGAACCAGCUCAAGGAUGCUUUUGAACAUCUAGGUGCACUCACGCCAAACAAGCAAGUGGAAGAGGCCAUGGACGUUGCUGAUAAAAAUAAGGAUAAUUUGAUCGACUGCACCAAUGAUGAGUUGGAUUCUCUUGUUGAAUAUGCUUGCAAUAAAGGCUUUAAAGGUUCCGCUUAAGUGUCGAUGGAUCAACUUUCAGCCGACGUACGGGGGAUGCUUAUGACUGAUGAAAAAUAAAUAUAUAGCUUUGGGUCUUUUCCUUCAUGUUGUCUCAAAAACAUGAUGAAAUUAAAAUAAAAUAAAACCCCUGUUUUUAUGUAAUUCUAUGUAUAAUUUUGCAUGCUUGCGUGCCUCAACUAUCAAGUACCAUAAACAUGUUGUUUGUACUAUUAUAAAUUAUAGACUGAUAUUUUUAUUACUUAAAAACUUAAACAAAAAGUUUGAGGAAACUUAAAAGUAAACCUAUUCAAAGGAAAAACAUACAAUAUAAUAUAUAUAUAUGAACUUAAUUUAAAUGCUUAUUUUUUUAAUUUUUAUACAUAUUUACACAUAUGCUUUUGUAUGCACAUGCGUACAUAUACACACAUAUAUAUAUGUGUGUGUGUGAGUAUAGAAGGAAAUGGUUUUGAUAAAAUUGAAGCUAUUUGACAAAAAAAUUGAAGUACAUACUGAUGUCGACAGGCAAAGGAAAGUUACAUUCUAAUAAGAAUUAGAAUAUCAAAAUGAGUUAAUUAGUUGUAGGAUUUCAAAUGAAAUUUCAUUUAUGAAGGUAACUUCAAAUAUCAAAAGUUGAAAUACCUGGUUUACCAAAAUUAUAUAUAUCUGAAUUUUAUUUUUGGAAAUAGUUAAAUUCUUUUGUAAUUUUAUUAAAAUGUUUGCGAAGCAUAUAUAAAGGAUUAAUUAGUAGUGUCUUUUGUGCAUUGCUUUGGUUUAGAAAACACAAUUUUACAUUAAUUUAAAAAGCCAUUUAUUUUAUUAUGAAAUUAUUAAUUUAAUCUUUUAAAUUAUUUUUCUAUCCUACUAUUAAUUAAUUCAUUUUUAAUAAUAAAUUUGACCCUUUCUUAUUUCAUAAAUGUUUCUUACAAAAUUAUUACAGUGAGAUGAUGCUAUUAUAAUUUGGUAAUAAGUCAUAUUUUUUAACUUUUAUAGAGGCUUCUUAUUAUCUAAGCCCAAAUUCCCCACUAUAUUUUGCACAUUUUAUAAGAUAGUUUUUAGCUUUUUACUACUUGAUUUAAAUGCAUUAUUAUAUGUGCAUAUAUAAUGUAAGAUGAUAUGUCAUAAUUUAAACUUUGAUCGUUAAAAUUAAAAUUUAAUAUUCUAUUAACAUCUCACACUACUGUUACCAUUUUGAUAAUAAAAUUUAAAAACUCCACUACUACAAGUGAAUGUGAUAAUUUUUAUAAUAUAAAUGUAUGAGCAUACAUACUUAAGUUUUAAGAACCAUAAAUUUUGGUGAAAUAUAUUUUAGGCCUGAUGAAGAAUUCAAUUAAUGAACAAUUAGGCUCAACACAACCUCAAAGAAAUCCAAUAACUACUACAAGGGUUUAGGUUUUUAGUGGCAUUUUUUUUAACAUUUAGCGAGGUUUAUAAACGCCACUAAAAGAUUUUCAGCACUUACAAAAAAUGUUACUAAGAGUGUUGGCUAUACUCGUGUCGGGGAAAAUAGUGGCAUUUUUUAUAAAAUGUCGCUAAAUUAGCAGUAUUGUAUAUGAAAAAGACCGCUAAUUUAGUGGCAUUUGUAUAAAAAAACACCAUUAAUAUGGUGGUGUUUAUAUGAUAAGACAUCAGUAAAUUACAGCAUUUGUAUCUAGAAAAUACCGUUAAAUUCACUACUAAUUUAGUGGCAUUUGUAUAAAAAAAAUGCCACUAAUUAAGUGACAUUUUUAUGGUAUGAAUGCCGCUAAUUUAGUAGCAUUUUUUUUUUUAUAAGAAUGCUACUACUUUUAGUGGUGUUUUAUGGUACAAAUUCCAUUAAAUUUAGAAUUUAGUAGCAUUCUUGAACGUCAAUGCUGUGAAAUUAAGAAAUUUACUUUUUUAAUAAAAAUUUCUGUUAAUAUUUAUUAUUUUCAUUAACAAGAAAUGUUAAAAGAAAUAAAAAUAAACUUAAAUUCAUAAAUUGAAAUUAAUAAAUAUUUAAUUCACUUUCAAAUAUGCAUCUAAUUAACACAAAGUUUAAUAAUUAGUAUAAUAACAUUCAGAUUUUUUUAAUACAUUCUAAUUAACACAAAGUUUAAUAAUUAGUAUAAUAACAUUCAAUUUUUUUAAUACAUUAACCAAAAAAAUUAAAAUGUAUGAAAUUGAUGACUGCAUAGAUUUGGAAGACUGUCAUUUGAUGAAGGAAUUUUUUCACCUUGAUAAUUGGCAUGGUCAAGAACCUACUGAAUAAUAUUAUACAAGUUUUAACACUUAAUAAUGAGCUUUUUUUAUAGUAAAAAAUAUAAAUAUUUACUAAAUAUAAUACCUGAGUUGGUGGACCAUCGAGAUUAUUUCUUGGAAAUUGUUGUUGCACAAAAUUCAUAAAAUUAUUGAAUCGAUCAUGCAACUGCUAAAAUUUUACAUGUUUUUGCUCCAUUCUAGCAUGUUUUUCUUCAAUUUUGGCACGCUUCCGUUCUUUUUCUGCUUCCAUUUGCUGGAAAUAUUAUUGCAUAGUUUGUAACUCCUUUCUCAAUAUGGAAAUAUCUUGCGAAGAUUGAUUUGUUGAGAAUAUAAAUUGCUAAAAGCUAUGUCCAUAGUAGAUAGAUGGUGUUGGACCCAAUCCAAGGCCUCGAACCCGUCCAUGUCUUUCUUUUUCAACAACUUUUGUGAAAAUCUGAUUUCCAAUUCUUGCAUAUUGUUAGAAUCAUCAUAUGCUACUUCAAUCUCAACAGCCAUUUUCUCUUUCGCUUUCUCCUAUAAAUUAAUCAUAUAAAACUAUCAAGUUUAAUGAUUAAUUCAUAAUAUGUUAAAAAGAGUAAAUAUUUACUUUCUGUUAAAAUAGAUGUUACAAAUUACCACAAUUUCUUGUGUUUCAAUAUUCAGGUAAGAUCCAUCUUUUUUUUUUGUGUGUUAAGCGAAAAAGUUUCACACGUCCAAUUUUAUUACCUAUCUCAAUCUCCUAUACAAAAACAUAUGUUAUUGUUAAAUACAUAUCAACGGUAACUUAUUCAUCUAUAUCAAGCUUGUCAAUCAAAUUCAAAAUUUUGAAUAAGUUUAAUAUAAUGUAUUUAAUCUAUCUAAAUUGUUAAAAUAUAAAUAUAAUAGUAAAAUUAUAUUUUGGCCCCUUAACAACACAUUAGUCUUAAACAAACAAAAACAAUAAAAACAUUUUGGCCUUUCACACAUAUCGAUCAUGAAAACCAAAUUGAAUUAUUUGGACAAGUUUAAUAUCAUGGAUUGAAAUCAUCCAAACUAUUAAAAGCCAUUCAAAAGUUUAAUUUGUAAUUUUGCCUUUUAAAGGCAAAAAUAGUCCCAAAUAGACAUAAACGACAACUUUUUCACACAUAUCAACCAUAGAAACCAAGUUCAAUCAUUCAGACAAGUUUAAUAUCAAGUAUUGAAGCUAUCCAAACUGUUAAAAUAGAACAAUAACAACAAAGUUGUAUUUUUACCUAAAUAGAUGUAAAUAAUAACUUUUUCAUACAUAGCAACCGUGGCAACUAAGUUCAAUACUUUGGAUAGGUUUAAUAUCAUGUAUUGAAACUAUCAAAACUAUUAAAAUAGAACAAAAAUUGUUAAUUUGCAUUUUUAUCUUUUAAUGGCGUAAAAAGUUCAUUUAUUUGAAUAAGUUUAAACUCAUAAACUUACUAUUUCUUUUUGCUUUCUUGCAAAACUUUUUGAUCCACUUGUGUGGCUAUAUUUUUGUUGCUUUUACUACCAAUCCCAAUCUGUUCUCUUUCCUGUCAUAAAAAAUAAUUGCAUAUAUGGUAGAAAUACAAAUAUUACUAACUUAAAGCAUAAAACACUUUUAUUAUUUCAUUAUAUUAUACAAAGUUAUAAAUUAGUACCUUUCUUUGUCUUGAGAACCAAAAUCUAACUAAUUGUUCAUAUUGCCACCUAAUCACAUUACAGGAUAGAUUUUCCAUUGUGGCCUCUACAGUAGUAUUUCGAUCGAAAUACUUAUUCUUCAAAUUAUGCUUAUAGUCUUUCCAUUUCUUUCUCAGUGACUUAAGAAUAAAUAAAGUUGGUAUUUCAAGAACAAAUCUUGACUGUAAUAAUACAAUAAGAAAAGUUUGAAUAAGUAAACCAAAUGUAAAAUAAUUAUAUUUUUAUAUGUAAUUAAUUUUACUAAUAUAUUAAUAAAGUUUAAAGCAUCAGCCUCAACUUCUACUAUAACUUUAUGCCAUGUUUCAUAAUGAAUAGGCAAUUUCAUUCCAUUACGGGCAUGCAUGCCUAGAAAUCCAAUCAACAGUUGAGCUUCUUCACUAAUGGGUUGCCUAUCAGAGUUUGCAGAUACUAUAAUAUACUCGUUCGGAGGUAGUGCAAAUAAUUCCUUCAAAGUUAUCCAGCCUCUGGUCCUCCGUUUGACCAUUGUUAUCAAUUAUAAAAAUAAAAAAUCAAUUUGUAAAAUGCCAAUACUUUAGUCAUUAUAAUCGAAUUCUAAAUAUGGGGUAUAUGAUACCUGCAUUCAAAUUGAAGGCAAAAUCAAUUGAUGGGAUACUAUCUAAACUUGGACCUUCCGUAUUACCAAAUUCAAUAGCAAUUCAGGGGUUAGAAGUAACUGAGUUAAAACCGAUAGUAUGAUCAUUCCCCUCUAAAGGAUUCAGUCCAUAACCAAUAUCAACAGGUGCCUUAAAUGAUUCUAAACUAAUAUUUCUUAUAUGUAUUCCUUCAAUCUAUUCAUUCGCAUUGUAGCUUACUUGCAUCAUAAAAGUGAAUAUAUAAAAGAUAUUAGUUUAGAAAAUAUAUAAAGAUAUUGAGAAGUUAAGAAAUCAUAACCUACGAUAUAUAAAAAACAUAUCGAUUUAAUUAAAUCAAAAGAUAAUGUAUGAUUUACAAUAUAAUAAACAUACAAUAGCGAAUGGGGCAUUAAUUACAUACAAGCAUUUAUUACAUUAUGUCUUAAACACUCAAAUUACAAAAUAUAGAUAAUCCAUCAUGGUUUAUAAAUAUCUCCAUUAACAUCUUCAUAGACCUACUAAGUAUAGGUACUGGAGAUAUUUCAUCCAAGUUUUGUUUAGCAAAAUGAUAACAUUUAGUUCCAUAUUCAACAUCAUAUCAACUUCAUAUCAAAUAAGUCUUUAGGUGUGUUUCGAAGAACAACAAACCAACCCAUUUCUUUGGGAUCUUCAGGAUAAAAAACUUGUUUGACUAGAUGAAAAAACAUAAAGUUCAUCAAUGAGCUAUUGUCCAAUAUGAAUUAAUUGAAAAAAAUUUACAAGUGUAAAUCCAAGCUAAUCUUUCUUAAUACCCCUCGCACUAUUCACAUUAGCCCAUCACACUAAAAUAAGACAACUUUCCACUUGCCAUAAAAAUCCAACUUAAUAAUGUCAUUAAUCAUGCCAUAAUAGUCAACAUUUCCCUUUAAAGGGUUUGUGUCCCUAGCACUAGCAUAGCUAGUAGUUGAUGAAGUAACAACAACUACUAAAUUUUGUGUAUUUCUAAAUCUCUCAUGGGAUUUAGUGUAAAAUCUAAAUCCAUUGAUGAUGAAACCUUUGUAUCAUUUCACAAUCUUAUUUGAAUCUUGUAAAAGACACUUCACCUUUUCACCAACAAGCCUUCCACUCCAAACCUAUAAAGGUGGAAUAAAUAUAUAUGUUAUUAAUUUUAGUUAUAUCGUAAGCAUUCUAUGUAGAUUUCUCGUAAUGGGAAGUAUGGCAUUACUUACAGUUGCUCCUAACCAUUCAUGAAAGUUUUCGGUGAACAACUUAUCAAGCUCUCGAGGGUUUGAUCAUUGAUAAUGUGCACGACUCUCAAAUUAUUUCUAUACUCACUACAAAGCAUCAUGAUAAAGUAUUAACAAUAACAAAAAAUACAAUAAAUUAUGCUUAAUGGAAUGAAUUAUUUCCUUGCAAAAAAACUUACGUGCAAAAUGAUUCAAUUGAGUCAUGAUGGAAAAAAUAUAUCGAUGUGCUAGAUCUUAAGAUUUAUCAUCAUUUCAUAUUGGCCUAUUGGUUAUCCAAAACUUUUAAAAGGAUAAUUAUAGGCAAAGUCAGUAUGCUGCAUAUCAACAUUUCUCGAUGGUCUAUUAAAUUUCAUUUCAACAUCUUCCAAAUAAUGAGAAUAAAAUAUCAUACACUCUUUUGCUAAUUAUCCUAUAGCAAUAAAACCUUUCGGAUAGUGUUUGUUGUGACAAUAAGACUUUAACCUCUCAAAAAACCUAUCGCAUAAAACAUUAGUCAUAUAUCUUUUUAACUAGAAUGGCAUAAUCAACAAUAACAACCUAAUCAAUCUAUUAACAAAUAAUACCUUUUGAUAGGAUGCAUCUAUCGAUAAUAAACCAGCCCACCAAUUUUUGCCUUAUAUGAAAUGCAUCAUAAUAGUGAAGAAGUUUAGAGGAAAAAUCUUCUUUAAAUGGCAUAAAGUAAUCAUAGCUCGAUCUUCAAGUUUGUCAAGUUCUUUUACAUUCAAACAUUUCUCAUAUGGAGAUUUAAAUAUGUUACUCAAUUCAAUUACCACAGAAAUGACUUGCUUUGACAUUGAUGAACGUAAAACAAUGGAAAGUAAGUGUUGCAUCAAAAUGUGAUAAUUAUGUUACUUUAAUGAAGAAAGUUUUCACUCUUUUAGAUUCUCAUAUCUCGAUAUAUUUCACGUAUAGUCAUUCGAAACUUUAACAUUUUUCAAAACCUUGCAAAACACAUCUUUUUCAGCUUUAGAAAUCUUAAAACAGAUAAAAGGCAAUUGAUAUUUGCCAUUAGGAAGCAACCUUGAAUGAAGAUCAGGGAAAAUCUCCAUAUCAACUAGGUCAAGCUGACUCUUUAAGUCAUCCUUUGAUCUUCUAUUCACAUUAAGAAUUGUUUCGAUAAAAAUUUUGUAAACAUUAUUCUCUAUAUGCAUCAAAUCAAGGUUUUAAUGUAAUAAAAUAUAUUCUUAAUAAGUCAACUCAAAAAAGAUACUUCUUUUUUUCCAUAACUUAGACUCAUUAGGGUCUUCUUUCUAUUGUCUUUCUUAUCACUUUGAACAUUUAGAUCACCCACUUGAGUAUCAGUAUCACCAACUUGCGUAAAUAUGAGGCCAAACACCUUCAAAGAUGUCUUUCACUCUUUUCCUUAAUAGAGUCAUUUUUUCAUAAGUGAAAUCGAUAUCUUUUAACUUUGACAAUAUAUUAACCCACUAUUUGGCAAAACGAUCUCUUCAACUAUUCAAUUCUAUCAAAGAGAUGUUUUUGAAAUCUAAAUCGAUAAUUAUCAUCUAACUAUCGACAAUGUGCCAUAUAACAGAACUUUUUAUCAUUAGGUAAUCACUUUGAACAUGUCUAUACAGCACAACAUGAUCAAGCAUAAUAACCUUUUGUACUCCAACUAGAUAAAUUCACAUAAGUAGAAAAAUUAUUGAUAGUCCAUAAUAAAGCAGCAUGUAUAUUGAAGUUUUCUUUUUUUGAUGCAUUAUAGCUCUUAACUCAUUCCCAUAAUUACUUUAACUUUUAAUAAGAGGUUGUAAAUAGAUAUCUAUAUCAUUACCUAGAUCUUUUUCCUUGGAAAUUACUAUAGACAAGAUAAAUGAUUGUUGCUCAUAACAAUCCAUGGUGGCAAAUUGUAUGGAAUCAAUACAAUUGGCUAAGUAUUAUAAGAAGUACUCAUCAUUUUGCACGGGUUGAAUCCAUCAGAUGUAAAGUUUAGAAACUUAGAAUAAAAUGAUUUUCAUGCCAAAAAAUCUGUAGAAUGCCUCAAUGAUCCAUCAUUCGUCUUUUUUCAUGAUGUCACCUCAUUGAAUCUAUAGUUUUUGAAGACAUAAAGAGUCGUUGAAGUCUUAGUAUUAAUUCAAAAUAACGUAAAAGCUUAACAAGCUUCUUUUUUACAAACACCUCAUCACCAUCCUCAUUCAACCUUUCAUCCGAAUUUUUAUCCACCUAGUGAGAAAUAUCACACAAAUGACAAGAUUUUUAUUUUUUCUAUCACCCUAAUACAACAUGUAAUCAUUGGGACAACUAUGAAUUUUUUUAUAUCCAAGACCCAAAUCCUUGAUCAUUUUUUUAUUCCUUACAAGAUUCAAGGAUUUUUGCAAAAGGUAACAUUUCUUUCACAAACUCUAAUAAUAAAGUUAGAGAGUUUUUCAUCCAUCCACAUAAGCAUUUCAAGAUGAAAAAGAUAAAAACAGAAAGAUAACUUUGAAUACUUCGAUCAUUCAUAAAGUUCUUCAUUCAUAUCCUUAAGCAACCUAUAAAACUUUGAUGCUUCUCCUCUAAGUUAUUGGUCACCUACACCUAUCCCAUGUUCACCAAAUUCAUUCAUUUUAACAUUGGACUGAUUAAAUCCAUCAUUUUAAGGAGAUGAAUUACGAAAAUGUUGGUUAUGAAUGUUAAAAGCAUCUCGCAACAUGCCUUCAAUGUCAUUUGCUAUAAAAGAAUCAUGUUGGUGUUGGAGAGCCCUUGAAGUUGAAGAAACGUGAAAAACCUUUAUAGUACAGACUUUCUAUGAAAAUACCAAUUAACAUAUCCCAGGACAAAUCCAAUACAAAUUAAAUGUUUGAAAACAACUUCAUGCAUUUGCCAAUCAAUAUUAGCACACUUCACACAUGGGCAUAAUAUCAUAUUAUUUUCACUUAUAUUUUCAAAUGCAAAAUUAAGAAAAAUUUUCAUUAUAUCUCUGUACUCUUGACUUAAUUUUAACCUUUGCAUUUAACUCUUAUCUAUUUAGUACUUGAUACAUUAUCAGACUAAAUUUAUACAAAUAAUUUAUAUGAAAAUGAACAUGUAAAAUACUUAAGUUUACUAUGCUUUAAACAAAAAAUAAUAACAAGACCAGUAUUUACAAAAGACCUAAACUCCUUGUUGUGAAGUAUUUUCUCAGCUAUUUGAUAUAAAGCAUUUAAAACUCUACUGCUAAACCAAACAUUACCUUAGAUUAUUUGUAGUUAGGGUUGAAAUAAGGUAAAACUGGUUCAGAGGAAACCCAAAAAAAGAAGAAGAUGGAAGGGAAAGGGAAGUGGAUGAUGGGUUCCAAAUGGGUAUUUGAGGAAGGAAGGUUUUGGAGAAAAUUUGUAAACUAAAAAGAAUAUCGCAAAUUGUAAAAGCUGAAAGAAUAAUAGAAUGAAGUAAAAGCUAAAGUAAAUAACUAAGGAAUAGUCAAAAUAGGGUUCUAAAAGACAAAGCUAAAAUAUUAAAAGCUAAAGGAAAGGGAAAGUAAACUAUAGUUAGUUUGAAAAGAGAAACAGUAGAUUAAUAAAGAUGAAGCUUAAAGUUGGUGAUUGGAUGCGCUAAGUUUGGGGAUAAUUUUAUUGGAGUUUGUAAGACACACACAUAUUCAUUUGACAGAUAGAGGCAUUUUCAACAAACAAACACUUUUAAGAAUCCCCGUAAUAUUUUUGAAUCAGAUCAUUGAAGGCAUUUUCUAAGAAAAAUACCUUAAAUAGUUUUCUCUUAAAAAUUUUUUAAGAUUAUUAAAGGCAUCUUAUAUUAAAAAUGCCUUCAAUAAUCUGUUAUUAAAGGCAUUUUUAGCAAAAAAAAAUGCCUUCAUGUAUUUUUUUUUUUUAUCAUUGAAGGUGGUUUUCUAUUAAAAAUGGCUUCGAGAGCAUAAGUUUUGACAUGAGAUUAUUAUAGGCAUUUUUUACUACAAACACCUUCACUAAUUGCCUCAAAUUUUUAAUAGCUUAUUUAGUGAAGGUAUUUUUUGCAUAAUACGCCUUCAAUAGUUUUUUUAAAUUUUAACGAGAUGAUUAUUUAAAGGCGUUUUUGACUAAAAACACAUUUAAUAAUCUCAUCUUAAAAUUAUUGGAGGUGGUUUUUAUAAAACAACUUUAAUAAUCCUUAUAAUGUUUGUGGGUAGGAUUAUUGAAGUUGUUUUUCGGCAUAAAAUGCCACCAAUAAACAAGGUAUUAAAAAAUGGACUGAAUUAUUAAAGGUGUUUUCUAAAAAAUGCAUUCAAUAAAUUCCUUGUAAAAUUUAUUUGAGAUUAUUAAAUGCAUCUUUUAGUAAAAAAUGCUUUCAAUAAUCUCGUAGUAAAAUUUUAAAGGGAUUAUUAAAGGUAUUUUUUACUACAAACACCUUCACUAAUUCCCUUAAAUUUUUUGAAAAAAUUUAUUAAAGUAUUUAGCAUAAUAUGCCUUCAAUAAUCUCCUCCAUUUUUAUCUGAAAAAUAUUAGUGAAGGUAAUUUUCUACCAAAAAUUUUUUAAUAAUCCACUCCAACUUUUUAGAGAACUUAUUGAAGGCAUUUUUUGCAUAAUAGGUCUUUAAUAUUCCCUCAAAUUUUAACAUAUCCAAAGGUUUUUGAAAGCACUUUUAACUAAAAACACAUUCAAUAAUCUCAUCUUCAAAAUUUUUAGGGGAAAUUAUUGGAGACAUUUUUUUAUAAAACACAUUUAAUAAUCAUCAUAAUGUUUUUGGGCAGGAUUAUUGAAGGCAUUUUUGACAUAAAACGACUUCAAUAAACAAGGUAUUGAAAAAAUGGGCCAGAUUAUUGAAGGCAUUUUUUAAGAAAAUACCUUCAAUAAAUUCCUUUUAAAAUUUUUUUAAGAUUAUUGAAGGCAUCUUUUAGUAAAAAAAAAACACCUUCAAUAAUCUUAUAGUAAAAUUUUAAGGGAAUUAUUGAAAGGUAUUUUUGUCAGAAAAAUGCCUUCACUAAUUUUCUCUAUUUUAAAGUAAUUUAUUGAAAGCAUUUUUUGCAUAACACGGCUUCAAUAAUUCCUUCCAUUUUUAUCAGGGAAAUAUCAGUUAAGGUAGUUUUCUACUAAAAAUGCCUUCAAUAAUUUUUGUACAGAAUUAUUGAAGUCAUUUUUUGAGAAAAAAUGCCUUCAAUAAUUUUCUUUUAAUUUUUUUUUUGGAUUAUUAAAGACGUCUUUUAAUAAAAAUGCCUUCAAUAAGUUCGUACUCAAAUUUUAAAGGGAUUAUUGAAGGUAUUUUUUUUUUAGAAAAACACUUUCACUUAUAAUUUUAUAUUCAUUCCCUUGUCUUGAACAUCGAAAUCACAAACUACUAGUAUAGAGAAUGAUUAAAAGUUGUAUUAAUCAACCAAACCAAACCCCAUAAACACUUUUAAAUUAACUUUUGGUUUCUUUAUCUUUAUCGUCACCACUGACCUUCAACAACUCAAUGACGCGCACCUCUUUAUUUAUUUGUAUGUCUUUUUUUUAUUUACUAUAUUAUUUGUGUUAUUUAAUAGAGGUAUUUUUUUUCAGUGCCCUACUAUUUACAUAUGCAUAUGUAUUUUUAUUCAUUUCACCAUAACUUUAGUCGUCCAAGCACCUUUCAUUGCAUGUAUAGUGUUUCUGUGUAGUUUUGUUUAAAUAUUGUGAUUUGCUGAAUGGUAUUGUAUGAUAUUGUUUUGCUGAAUGGUAUUGUAUGAUAUUAGUUUGCUGAAUGGUGUUUCUGAAUGGUUACCUAAGUGAUGUUUUUGAAUGGUUUGCUGAAUGGUGUUUUUGAACACAUUACUGAUUGGUUUGCUGAAUGAUGUUUCUAUACAUAGUAUGAUAUUGGUUGUAUUUUAUUAAGUACAAUGUUAAAAUUUAAACAGUCAUUUUGGUGUAUUUUAUAUAAUUAUGAUCAAAAUCACAGGUAUUAUAAACUCAAAACAAUAUAAUUCUCUUUCUACUGAACAUGCACAAAACACACCUGUAGGCCAAAAAAGAAAAGGAAAAGGACAAAAUAAACAAGUAAGUGACAUAAAAAUUUACAUAAACUUCAAUCAAAGUAGGCAACCUAUGUCUGAUGGAACUGCCAAAUUGGCUACUCAUAUUGGUGCCAUUGUCCAUAGUAGCAUUUCAAUUACGUACACUAAUUGGCAAUGAGUUCUUGAUGAUCUAAAGGAUGGUAUAUGACAGUCGGUUAUGAUAUAUUUAUUCAACUAUGUCAUAAAAUUUGUUAAAUGAUCAUUUAAUUAAAAUACAGUGUGUUCAUACUAAUUAUGUUAAAUUAUUUAGGAACGGUUUGAUAUCGUAAUUAACUGUAAAAAGAUUAUGUUACAAUUUGCUAGAAAAGCAUUCAGAGACUUUAAAAGUAGAUUGAAAACCUAAUAUAUUUUACCACUCACUUAUCAAGGUGAUGUAUUGGCUAUUCCACCUACGUUAUAUGCAAAUGUAAUAAGUGUUGAAGAUUGGAGAAAUUUUGUUCGAGAUUGGCUAUCAGAAGAUUUCUUAGUAUGCAGACCCAUUACCAAAAAAAUUGUUUAUAAAAUUUUAUGCAAUAUAUUCGAUAUCUUUAUAUGUGAUUUAUGUAAUUUAUUUCUUUUGUAAAAAAUCAAAGAAAACCAAAGGAACAUUAGGGCAAAACCAAAGGAACAUUAGGGCCAAACAAAUAUAUCAACAUCGGACAGCGAGAAAGGGAUAUGCAAAUGUGAAGUAUGAGCUUGUAAGUAUUUGCACACUUGUUUUAUUACUCAUAAAUGAAUAUUUAUAAACAUUUAUUUCAUAGAUUCUGAUUCUUAUAUUACGGUAAUUUAUUAGAAAUCGACGAGCUUUGGCAUUGAAGUUUUCAGAUGGGAUGUCUAGAAAUAAAAACAUCUACAGAAGGAUGGAUAUUUUGUAGAUAAAGCAACCAAAGAAUUGGCUAAAAAGAUUGUAUGUAUAAUUGCUUGUUUAAUAUCAUGUAUGAUUGGCAUUAUGGUUAUAUGCAUGACUAUAUACUAGCUUCUAUAGAUUUGUUGUUAUAGCCCAUAUUAUUAUUGUCUUUCAAGAUGAUUAUGCUAUCAAAGUUAAAUUCAGCGAACUGGCAAUCUAGUAUGGUGAAGAUCUAUUAUCUUUAGCAUUAGAAACUAAAAAAAGGCCUGGUCGAGUUUGUGGGGUUGAUAAAUUUGUGUUGCCAUCAAAGUGUUUUAGUAAUCAACCCAAAAUGCCUCGAAUGACAAAUGCACAAUAUGAAGCAAGCAUUGAGCAAUAACAGCAAUGACUUGAUGACCAGAAGUAAUGCCUCAAUGAGCAACAGCAAAGACUAGUUGCUUUAAAGGCCAUGUCAGCAGUCAAAUUCUGACCUUUGCAUAGGUUGUCAUAGAUGAGUUAUCUAAUUAUUCAUUCAAUCAUUUAUCCAAAGGAAACUACAUAACCAUUGAGUCUAAGGAAGGGUUAUUUGAUAAACCAUUAUUUUCUUACAUUGGUAUGGAUGAGGUUAAAAAAAUUUGUAAACUGGAUGAAAUAUCAACUGUUGAUAUUGUUGCUUAUACGAGGUUAGCUUAUAAAUACAAAUAUACAAACUUAAUAUGUAUUAAUCUAUAUUACGAUGUAUUACUAACUAGUAUUAUUAAUUGUUAUCGUGUAGCUUCCUAUAUAUAAAGGUCAAGGUGAGAUAAACGUCCCACAGAUUUAGAUUCGUUGACCCCAACUUCAUUAGUAAAUAGAGUGGCAUAGUUACUUUUCGUGCUAAUCAUGUGAUUGAAUGCAUGAAAAAACCAUUCGAUUAUUAUUUGCUCCCAUAUAAUGCGCAGUAUGUUAUAUUCAUAUAAACAAUUAUUCCAACCUUACCCAAAUCUGAUAUAAUGCCUAAUAUGGGUAUAUCAUUCUUAUUAUUUUGCAGUCGUCAUUGACUACUUAUUGUGAUUGAUACCAAAUCCUUAACGUUAUACUUACUUUAUUUAGCUUAACAACGGUGAUGCCUAACCCCAAAAUUUAAAUUUUUAUAAAGAAGUAUUACAUGUUAUUAUACUAUAUAUCUUAUGUUUCUUCUUAAGUAAUUUUAUUUAUGUAUUAAGUAAUUUUUUUUCUUUUUAUUUAGGGUAAUAUCUGCAUUUGAUAAGAAGGCAAAAAAAAAAAAAGGUGUCAUUACCGGUAAAUGUGAAAUUUAUUCUUUUAUGUUGAGUUUAUAUAGAAAAAUAUUUUUUAAACCUACUAAAUUUAAUUUUCAAGUACCUCGUCAAUCCGGAUAUACUGAAUGUGGAUAUUAUGUCCUUUGUUUUCUAUAGAAGAUAGUUUUAUAUGAUUUUAUGACCACAUCAUCCAAGGUUAGCAUAAAUUUCGUAAAGUCAUUAUAUCUUCAAAAAAAUAGCUAAAUUAUGUUCUCAUUUAUUAACAUUUACUUUUGAUUUUUUUAUUAGUGGGAGAGUAAAGAAAGUUUCAUGGUAGAGGAACUUGAUGAAGUCUAUAAAAAAUGGUGUGAGUAUGUAUUAUCAUUUAUUGAUAAACCUUGAGGUUGGACAUUGUUGGUUGAAUGUAAAUAUAAGAGGAUCAUUUGCUAUAAUGUUUUUAACAUGCUAUGUUAAAUGGAUAAUUUAAGUUUGUAGAUUGGAGUAUUGGUUUAAUAUUAUUGGUAUAUAUUUGUUUUAUAUGAAUACACAUAUAUUAAGUAUGAUUAUUUGAGAAAAGUAUAUUAACAUGGCAACAUUAUUAGUUUUAAAUUCAGAUGUGUGGUCAAUUUAUUGAAAUACAAUAAUGUUCAUUAUGUAAAUUCCAAAAUGUAAUUCGUAGUAUCACAUAUAUAAACCAAAUGUUUUUUAGGUAUAAACCUAUAAUUGAUUUCAAAUGUUUUUUGGACAUAAAUUUACAACUGAUUUCACAUAUAUAAUUAAACCAAAGUUUUUUUAAUAGGAUUAUUUAAGGCAUUUUUUAACAAAAUCGCCUACAAUAAUCCCUCAUAAAAAUUUAUUGUUUAGAUUAUUAAAGGCAUUUUAGGCCAAAAUGCCUUCAAGAAUUCGUUCUAACUUUUUUGUAUAGAUUAUUGAAGGCAUUUUUGACUAAAACCACAUUCAAUAAUCCAUUAUAUAAAAUUUAUUAAUUGAAUUAUUGAAGGCGUUUUUGACAAAAAAUGCCUUCAAGAAUCCAUUCCAAAUUUUUUUUAUAGAUUAUUAAAAGCGUUUUUCUGCCAAAAAUGCCUUUAAUAUUCUAUCUCCAAAAUUUUUUAAAUAGAUUGGUGAAGGUGCUUUUGCCCAGAAAACACCUAGAAUAAUCCCUUACAAAUAAUUCCUUCAAAAACCCAAAAAACCUAAAGGGAGGAAUCAAACAUACAAUUUUAUAGUUAACAACUAUAUGAUCUUUAAAUUUUGAUAGGAUAUUUAUUGAAGGCAUUUUUGACCAAAAACACCUUCAAUAAUCCUCUGCAAUUUUUUAGUGGAAUUAUUAAAGGCGUUUCUUGUAGAAAACACCUUCAAUAAUUGCCUACAUUUUUUUAUGACGGGAUUAUUCAAGGCAUUCUCUGCCAAAAAUACCUUCAGUAAUUGCCUAUCCAUUUUUUUAAUGGGAUUAUUCAAGGCAUUUUCUAUUAAAAAUGCCUUCAGUAAUCAUUCCAAUUUUUUGGAAAGGAAUAUUCAAAGUGUUUUAGUUGAUAAAUGCCACUAAUUUUUGGCUUGGGUGGCAUUUAUAAGUAAAAAUACCGCUAUUUGAAUAUUUAGUGGUGUUUUGACAAAAAACGCCUUAAGUUUUAUAAAAACACAGAAGCUAGCGGUGUUUGUAAGUGAAACUCCGCUACAAAAAUGCCACUAAUCUUCCAUUUUCUUAACGUUGAAUUCAAAAUGUGAGGGAUUGAAAAAUUAAGGCCAUCCAUUUUUUGGCACUUGUUUCACACCCUAAUAGUUGACUAGGAAAGUAAUUAAUUUCCAAUGAUCUCUAUUAAUCAACAACUAGUAUGUUCUAAUUAAGGUUCAAAUUAAGAGAUAGGGUUUAAAUAAUUUUCUUUACCUUUUUCUUGAAUACUAGAAAUGAGCCCACGUGUAGCUUUAACUAUUUUAUUAAUUAAAAUAAUUCAUUAUUUGUUUUAUUUUUUUAUUAUUUUGAUAUAAAUUUUAAUAAAUUAAAAAUAAUUUUUAUAUUUUUUUAUAAAAUUUAACUAGUUAAAAAAAGUAAGAGAUAAGAAAACUGCAUAGAGAUGAUAUGUGGAUAUCUCAAUUGGCCCUUUUUUUCAAUAAAUUUAUCUAAUAAAAAAAUAAAUUUGAAAAUUUGAAAAAAUAAAAAGUAAAAAACCAAACAAAGGAAAAACAAAAACAAAAGAAGAGCUUAAUAAGGAUGCCACAUGAAAACUUCCAUUGAGUUUAAAAUAUUAAUUUAUUAAAUUAAAGUAUUAAAUAAUUAUUUAUUAAUAUGAUACCUGUAUAUAAAUAUAAAACUAAAUUAAUAAUAAAAUAUAUAUACUUUUACAUAUACCUCAAGAUUACUUAGGACAACGUAGUCUAAAUUUACAUCUUAUGUCUUCUUACUAUCCUAAAAAACCAACUUGACUUGAUUUGACAUCGAUUUUGAUCAAAAACGUCUAUGUCAAAUCGAGAUGGAUUGAAACCCAUUGAAUAUUGAUUAUUUUGCUAUCUUUAUCAACCGUCUCAUUUUGUUAUAAAAUUUAUCUAAUUAAAAAAUAUAUAUGAAAAUAUAUAAAAAAAAAUGAGGAUGCUAUGUGAACACCCCCAUUGACAUUAUUUUCUCAAAAAAUUAUCUAAUUAAAAAAAGGAAAAAAGAGAAAACAAAAAGUAAAACAAAAAAAAUUAUUUUCAAUCAAUAAUGUCAAAUGAGUCCAAUCAUAAAUUAAAGAAAAGUAUUUAUUAAAUGUGAAAAAGUGAAAAAAAAAAUAUAUAUAUAUAUAUAUAUAUAAGAAGAAAUGGAAAUAAGAAAUGGAGAAGAAAAUGAAAAAACAAGUGAAUUAAAGGAGGUGACACAUGGAGAUCAAAAUAUGCAAAAUUAAUAUUAUAGAUAAUAAAAUAUAUACUUUUAUACAUAUACCAAGGUAAAUUUGGGUAAAGUACCAUUAACAUGUUCCCAACCCAACUUUGUUUCUCUUUAAAAAACCCAAUUUGCCCAAGCUUGAUCCAAAAAAAAAAAAAAUUGCACCCUUACUGGAUCGGUCAGAAUCCAUUAGAUACAAAUUAUUUUGUUAUCCUUAUUGAUUGAUUCCUUUUGUUUGAAAAUUUAUCUAACAGACAAACAAAAAAGGUAAAAAAAGGUAAAAUAUAACUUUAUUAAUAUAAUACAUACAUAUAUAAUAUAAAUUAAAAUAAUAAUAAUAUAUAUUUAUAUACACUUGGAAGGGGCAAAACACCCUAAACUUGCAUUUUACUUGACUUUGAUUUAAAAAAAAAAAAACUUGACCUAAUCCUAAAUUACAAAAAAAAAAAAUGCAUUGAUUGAAUCCAUACAAAUCGAAACCUAUUGAAUAUAGUUAUUCUGUCAUCUAUACCUCAAUUGACUUUUUUCAAAAAAUUUAAUUAGUGAUUUUUUAUUAUAAUAUUUAUCUAAUUAAAAAAAUAUGAAAGGCAAAAAAAUUAAAUAGGAUGCCACAUAGGCGCAUCCAUUGGCUUUUCUUUCAUUUAAACAAUUGAUCUAAUAAAAUAUAAAAGCAGAAAAAAACUAAAAAAGAAAAAGUAAAAAUAAUAAUCAAAACAAAAAAAAGGAAAAAAAGUUGAGUUGUCAUACGAUAUUAGCAAUGAUGAGCUAUUUUUGUAAAAUUUUUAUUAUUAACUUUUUUUAAAAUAAAAAUAUAUAAAAAUGAUAGGUUGAAAAAAAAUUAAAUCUAGAUGCCAUAUAAACACUUCCAACAAAAUCGUUUUUACAAAAUUAUCUAAUUUAAAAAGGAAAAAAGUAUAGAAAAUAUGUAUUUUUAAUCAAUAAUAUCAAAUGAAUCCUACAAAUAAGCACACCUAUGUUAGAUUGGUGUGAAUCAAAAUUAAUCAAAUAUGAAUUUUUUAUCAUCUCUACCAUUAAUCUUUUUUUUUUUUUACAAAAUUUAUAUAAUAAACAAAAUUAAAAAACCAAAUAAAAAAGUUGAAAAUAAAAAAUAACAAAAAUAGAUUUAAUAAAAAUAAAAAACAAAAAUAAUUAAAAUAUAGAUUUUUGAAGAAGGAUGGAUGCCACGUAGAUACCUUCUCAUUCCUCUAAAAUCUGCAACUUCAAUAUAAUAGACGAAUGGAUAAUAAAAUAAAUAUAAAUAUAUAUAUUUUAUAUAGCCAAAGCGAGAUGAAACAUCUUAAAUCCACUUUUAAUCUAACUCUGAUUUUAAAAAAAAUCAAUUGAAUUUUGAAUUUUAAAAAAAUGCAACAUCAUAAGAUUAGGAUGAAUAAGAAUCCAUCAAAUUUAGAUUUUUUGCCAUUACCUUUAUUGACUUUUUUACAAAAUAUAUUUAAUUAAAAAUUAAAUUUAAAACCCCCAAAAAUAAAGAAUAGCAAAAAAUAAAAAAAUAAAAGGUUGGAUAUUAAAAAAGGGGGGAAAAAAGGAAUGAGAAAAACCAAUUAAAAACCAAGACCUAAUAAAAAAAAAAAAAAAGAGAUAGGUUCCUCGUAAGCAUCAUCUCUUCCUCAAAUCUCUACAAAAUUAAACAUUUGAUAUAUAUACUAGUAAUUCAAUGUGCAUUUUGACCAAAAUAUUUGCAUUAGGGCCAAGACCAGAAGAACCAAAGAUUUAUUGAUUUAAUGUAAAAAAAUACAUUCUCUCAAAAGAGAAAAAGAUAGAAAAUACAUUGAACCUUUUUCAUUAGUAUUUUCAUGGGAUUUUAGUGAUGGUGAGAGUUGCUGCAAGGUAUGGAAUAUAUACAUAUACAUAUACAUAUACAUAUAUAUAUAGAUAUAUAUAUAUAUAUAAAGGCUCUGCUCCUAAUAGAAAACACAUUGCCCUUUCUGGUUAGUAUUUUCUUGGGUUUUUAGUGAUGAAAGGUUCUGAUUUAGUUAGGGGGUUGAGUUAGAGUUGCUGCGAGGUAUGGGAAUGAAAAAAUUUCUGCUCCCAAUCUGGUUAUAACAUGCUUACAUUAGGUUACUUAUUCAAUGUAAAUACAAAACUGGAAAUUUCUAUUUCUUGUAUAUAAAAAGUUCAAUUCACAUCAUCCUCCAAUGUUGUGCAGAUUAAAAAAAAAAAAAAGAAAUAGAUGUGGCCUGGCUUUCCAUUAGAGGACUCCCCAUUACACUAUCAAUCACCUAAUGAUCUCAGUUAGAGUCAGUGUGAAAAGUAAAACGAGAAUUAUUUCCUAAUAUACACUUAUACAGUCAAAUCAACACAAAGAAGCAAUAUCUUCUAUUUGUCAUCAAUGGAUUAAUUUGAAAGUAAUGGAGUAGUUAUGGUAGUGGCUGUCAGCCAUGGCACAUUUCUAAGUGAUCGAACAUCCAUUUGAUAAAAUUAUGGGUUUUAAGUUUAAGUAGAGAAAGUGGUGCAAGAUUUUUUGAGUGCAAAAAUUUUUGGAUUCGCUGUCAGUAAAAGGGUAGAACCAAAAACCAAGUUGUGGAGAUGCAAGAGUAUGAUGUUUGAAUCAAAAUGUAGCUUGUGUUGUAGAUAUAGAUACUAUUAUUUAACUCAAGCUGCAGAGAUGCAAGAGUAUGAUAUUUGAAUGCAAAUGCAAGAGUAUGAUCAAGAUCUGUCCAACCAGGAGCAACAAGACGAUUCUCUUCAAACUUUUUUGUGUAGUGGUGGCCCCUGAUUCUGAUGGAAAUGGAACUGUGCUGUGGAUGCAUCUGAAUAGUUUUAUGCCCUUUGCAUUGCAUAUAUAACUCUAAAUUUUUUUUUCUUGUUUGAGGAAAUAUAGCUUUAACUGGAGUUGAAGCUACAAGAACAAGAUAGUUAUCGGCUGACAGCUAGAACAUAAAUAAAGAAUAGAUUCAUAGAGAAUCGCGAUAUUUGUGUUUGUCAGCAGGGGUUGACCUGUUAAAAUUUGGAAGCAACAUUUGCUACUGAAGAAAUUUUUAUGUAUUAGAAACAUCUACAACAGUGAAGAAUUCUCUUGAAAAUCAUGAUUAAUUAUCUAACAACAAGCCUCCCCUGUUUUUAUUUUUAGCUGUAAGCACUACCAAAUCAAUUGUCAUGCAAAUUUUGCUUUAAAAUUUUCAAGAUAAAUACAAAAAGCAGUAAAGCAACAGUAAAAGACUAGGGAGAAAGGAAAGUACAGCACCAAGCACCUAAAUUGCGGUGGCUAAUAUCGAAACAGCUCGAAUUUGGACAGGGUAAGAGUUUAGAUUCCUUACUGCUGACUUCAUUGUCUUGCCUUUUCCCCAGCAAAAACAAAUGAAACAACAGAAAAUGGACAAAAGAUAGUGGAGGCUGCUAUUUAGCAUUUUCCAAUCUGUGGUUAAUUUGAAGCCAGAAGAAAUUAACAUUAAUAUUUUUAUUCGUACCAAUCCUUUUCGAAUAUAUUUUUUAAAAGUAUUCAUUAUAAAAUUUUAUAGAUUGAUUUAUUAAUUUUAUUGAUAAAAAGGAUGGAAAUCAAAUUUUAGAAGCUACCACCAAAAAAUGUUUUAUUCCCCCACACUUCAACAGAAUCCUGUUCGAGUUUUGGGUCUAUAUAAACAAAUUACAUUGGAAAGAAAAACAAACAAACCAAGCUAGGCAAGCCUUCUCUCUAAUAUCACCCGUCAUAAACCUCAAAAACCACAAUGCAAGCCACAAAGGAUAACAAGGAUCAGAAAAACAAAUUGGAACAAGUGUUUCGAGCUUACUCUAAGCAGGGCAGCAUCACCAGGGACCAGCUCAAGGAUGCUUUUGAACAUCUAGGUGCAGUCACGCCAAACAAGCAAGUUGAAGAGGCCAUGGACGUUGCUGAUAAAAAUAAGGACAAUUUGAUCGACUGCACCAACGAUGAGUUGGAUUCUCUUGUUGAAUAUGCUUACAAUAAAGGCUUCAGCGGUUCCAUUUGAGUGCCGAUGGAUAAAAUUUCAGCCUAAGUAUGGGGGAUGCUUAUGACUGAUGAAAAAUAACUAUAUAGUUUUCGGUCUUUUUCCUUCAUGUUGUCUCAAAAAAACAUGAUAAAAUUAAAAUAAAA
This 20900-nucleotide long non-coding RNA is filed under the name Durio zibethinus. RNAcentral's name for it is "long non-coding RNA (DZIB_LNC001407)". The record is from RNAcentral. Lineage: Eukaryota; Viridiplantae; Streptophyta; Magnoliopsida; Malvales; Malvaceae.